This 2905-nucleotide ribosomal RNA is filed under the name Candidatus Woesebacteria bacterium RIFOXYA1_FULL_38_9. RNAcentral describes it as "bacterial LSU rRNA". It matches the Rfam family "Bacterial large subunit ribosomal RNA", at positions 14 to 2107 of the family's 2925-position model. The record is from RNAcentral. Lineage: Bacteria; Candidatus Woeseibacteriota. RNAcentral also lists the same sequence under 1 other name.
CUAACGCACAACAGUGGAUGCCUUGGUCUUUCCAACCGAGAAAGGACGCGCAUGGCGGCGAAACUCGUCGGGGAGCUGUCACGAAGCUUUGAUCCGGCGAUAUCCGAAUGGGGCAACCCACCUUAAUUCGUUAAGGUAUUUAUAUCCCAAGUAAUCCUGCUUGCAGGGUUUAUUAAGGUAUAAAGGGGAACCUGGGGAACUGAAACAUCUAAGUACCCAGAGGAAUAUAAAUCAAUAUUGAGAUUCCGUAAGUAGCGGCGAGCGAAAUCGGAACAGCCUAAACCGCACUCAUGUUCUUUUAGAAUGUGAGAGUGGGGUUGCAGGAGCCCAAUGUGGUAGUUAUUGCGGUAGCAAAAAACUCUGGAAUGAGUUGCCAUAGAAAGUGAAAGCCUUGUAUGCGAAACCAAAAUAACACCUAGGGAUUUCCUAAGUAAUACGGUCGACAACUCCGUGUGAAUCUGGGGGAACCAUCCUCCAAGGCUAAAUAUUUGGAAAGGACCGAUAGUGAACUAGUACCGCGAGGGAAAGGUGAAAAGAAGGGCGAGACGCCCAGUGAAAUAGUAACUGAAACUGUGUGCGAACAAACCGACAAAGCCAUAUUUAUGUGGUGAUGUCGUGCCUAUUGAAGAAUGAGCCAGCGAGUAAUCGCAUACUGCAGCUUAAACUCUUUUAGAGUGAAGGCAUAGCGAAAGCGAGUGUGAAUAGCGCGAUUGUAGUAUGUGGUUGACCCGAAACCAGGUGAUCCAUCCAUGAGCAGGGUGAAGCCUCGUGAAAACGAGGUGGAAGCCCGAACCGGUUCAAGUUGCAAUUUGUUCGGAUGACUUGUGGAUAGCGGUAAUAUGCCAAUCGAACCUGGAGAUAGCUGGUUCUCCCCGAAAGGUCUUUAGGGACCGUGGCACUAAAAAGAGCAUUGGGGGUAGAGCUACUGGAUGGGACAACAAGGGGUAACCCGAGUUGUUUCAACCAAACUCCGAAUACCAAUGUGUAAAGUGCUAGACAGCCGUGUGGGGCUAAGCUCAUACGACAAAAGGGAAACAACCCAGACUCUCAGUUAAGGCCUCUAAAUUUUGACUAAGUUUAAAAGGAAGUCAUGUUCCUUAGACAGCUAGGAGGUUGGCUUAGAAGCAGCCAUCCUUUAAAGAUAGCGUAACAGCUCACUAGUCGACUGGAGCGUGGCGCCGAAGAUUUAUCGAGGAUUAAGUCAAAUGCCGAAGCUGGAGAUGUUUGUGCUUAUUUUUAAGCGCAAACGUGGUAGGGGAGCGUUCCAAGGGCGGUGAAGGUGAAUCGUAAGGUUUGCUGGAGCGCUUGGAAGUGAGAAUGCUGGCAUGAGUAGCGUACAAGUCCGGUGCGAAUCCGGACCGCCGAAUACCCAAGGUUUCCCCGGUGAAGUUCGUCUCCCGGGGGUUAGUCGGCUCCUAAGGCGAGGCCGAAAGGCGUAGUCGAUGGACAAUUGGUUAAAAUUCCAAUACUUAUUUUGAAUCGCCCACUCGCUUUACAGCGAGAGCUGGGGAAUGACCAAGCAGGAUAUCUAAAGCCGCUUAUUGAAUUGCGGUACAUAUUGUAAGGUAGAACUACCUGGAAAAUCCGGUAGUUUGUUUACCUGCGCAAGCAGGUAUAUCGUCGAGCAACGUGUAAAGUCUUAUGAGAAUAGGGCAAUUUUAGACCAUUCAGCUUGCAGGAAAAGUUUCGCAGCGAGAUUCAAAUUAAGCCGUACCACAAACCAACACAGGUGGGUUAGUCGAGUAGACUAAGGCGAUCGAGAGAAGGAGGGUUAAGGAACUCGGCAAACAAGCUGGACGUAACUUAGGGAGAUGUCCUACCCCGCACUAUUUAUAGAUGUGGGGUCGCAGCGAAUGAUUGUUGGUCGACUGUUUAUCAAAAACACAGGUCCGUGCAAAAGCGUAAGCUGAAGUAUACGGGCUGACGCCUGCCCAGUGCCGGUAAGUUAAGUGGAUGGGUUUUUCCAGUCUUCGGAUUGGAUUGGCUUUGAAAUGAAGCUCCGGUAAACGGCAGCAGUAACUAUGAACGCAGAUUGUAGUUAUAAAAUUUGGCUAUAUGCUGGAACAUCUUGACAGGUCAUUCGUACUGCUGAUUAAAUAAAGUCAGUAGUAAAAAUCGAAUGAAUAGAGACAAUCAGCAGGAAAGAUCAAAACAAAACAUUAAAGUUCCUGAACGAAUUGGUUGGUAUUUUGCAGGUUUUAUUGAUGGUGAGGGAAGUUUUAAUAUUUCUCUCCGGAAAAAAUCUGAUUAUAAACAACAAUGGCAACCAGUGUUGUCAUUCAAUGUUUCUCAAAGAGAAAAAACAGUCUUAACUUUGAUGCAACACUAUUUUCAGUGCGGAAUCAUUAAAAAAAGAAAAGACGGUUUACAUUCCUUUGAUAUAACAAAUCCAAUCGAAAUUCAGGAAAAAAUUAUUCCUUUUUUUACUAAAUAUAACUUUCUCUCAAGUAAUAAAAAUCAUAAUUUUAAGCUUUUUAAAAAAGCCGUCAAAAUUAUGUAUAAAAAAGAGCAUCUUAACAAAGAUGGUUUGAUUAAAUUACUUGAAAUAAGAGAAAAUCUAAAUCAGGGUAAAGGAAGAACAAGAAAAUAUUCGAUUAAUGACGUUUUGGAAUCCUCAGAGACUACACGCCAAACAUCACACAAGUGAUGAUGAUAUAGUCCGAUCCUUAUGGAGACAUAAGGAACCUAAUAGAAAUGUUUAGGUCUUCGAGUAAUUGAAUUACUCUAAAGUAACAAAAAUGAACUGUUCUACGGUAGCGAAGUUCCUUGUCGGGUAAGUUCCGACCCGCACGAAUGGCGUAACGAGCUAACAACUGUCUUAACCCUUCACUCGGCGAAAUUGCGUUGGCUGUGAAGACGCGGCCUACUUCCACCAGGACAAAAAGACCCCGUGAAGCUUUACUGU